AUACCUUCCUCAACCUUUUGGCUAAGAUCAAAUCAAGUAUAUGUUCAUAUCAGUUUAAUAUCUGAUAUGUAGGUCAAUGGCCUGCACCAUGUUAAAUUAUUUUUUUUAGGGAGAGGGUCUAAUACAGUAGAGACUCUCAAGUGUUGCUCAAGCUUUGCACUACUACACAAACCUGGCACAUCCCAC
This is a small nuclear RNA of Lotus japonicus, 186 nucleotides long. RefSeq annotates it as U2 spliceosomal RNA. NCBI's taxonomy places the organism in Eukaryota, Viridiplantae, Streptophyta, Magnoliopsida, Fabales, Fabaceae. The transcript has a single exon. The record is from RefSeq and is a predicted model, not a curated record.